CGAGAGCAAGAGGUCAGAGCACAUCCAGACUCCUUAAGAGUCCUUAAAGCACAACAGACGCCUUUCUGUUUUGGAAACUUUUCAAAGCCAGGGACUUGUCCAGCCCAACCUCCCCAUUGCUCCUAGCUCCUGAGGCUCAGGACCCUUGGCUUCUGUCCUCCCUGCUCAGGGUCCUGCAGCGUUGCCUCUGCUCAGCCAUGCUCCUGCUGCUCGUCCCAGUGCUCGAGGUGAUUUUUACCCUGGGAGGAACCAGAGCCCAGUCG
Molecule: long non-coding RNA, 263 nt
Filed under: Pan troglodytes (chimpanzee)
Lineage: Eukaryota; Metazoa; Chordata; Mammalia; Primates; Hominidae
Description: long non-coding RNA NONPTRT004728
Source: RNAcentral